This 551-nucleotide ribosomal RNA is filed under the name uncultured Glomeromycotina. Its description in RNAcentral is "SSU rRNA". It matches the Rfam family "Eukaryotic small subunit ribosomal RNA", at positions 548 to 1098 of the family's 1831-position model. The record is from RNAcentral. Lineage: Eukaryota; Fungi; Glomeromycota.
UUGGAGGGCAAGUCUGGUGCCCGCAGCCGCGGUAAUUCCAGCUCCAGUAGCGUAUAUUAAAGUUGUUGCAGUUAAAAAGCUCGUAGUUGAACUUCGGGGUCUACCCAUUGGUCAGGCUUAAUUGUCUGCACUGGUGAGAUGGAUCUCUACCUUCUGAGGAACUUUCAUGCCAUUUAUUUGGUGUGAUGGGAAAUCAGGACUGUUACUUUGAAAAAAUUAGAGUGUUUAAAGCAGACUAUCGUCUGAAUACAUUAGCAUGGAAUAAUGAAAUAGGACGGACUGAUUCUAUUUCGUUGGUUUCUAGGAUCACCGUAAUGAUUAAUAGGGAUAGUUGGGGGCAUUAGUAUUCAAUUGUCAGAGGUGAAAUUCUUGGAUUUAUUGAAGACUAACUACUGCGAAAGCAUUUGCCAAGGAUGUUUUCAUUAAUCAAGAACGAAAGUUAGGGGAUCGAAGACGAUCAGAUACCGUCGUAGUCUUAACCAUAAACUAUGCCGACUAGGGAUCGGACGAAGUUAAUUUUAUAAUGACGCGUUCGGCGCCUUACGGGAAAC